GACGAACACUGGCGGCGUGCUUAACACAUGCAAGUCGUACGGUAAGGCCCUUUCGGGGGUCCACGAGUGGCGAACGGGUGAGUAACACGUGAGUAACCUGCCCACAACUUUGGGAUAACGCUAGGAAACUGGUGCUAAUACUGGAUAUGUGCUCCUGCUGCAUGGUGGGGGUUGGAAAGCUCCGGCGGUUGUGGAUGGACUCGCGGCCUAUCAGCUUGUUGGUGGGGUAGUGGCCUACCAAGGCGGCGACGGGUAGCCGGCCUGAGAGGGUGACCGGCCACAUUGGGACUGAGAUACGGCCCAGACUCCUACGGGAGGCAGCAGUGGGGAAUAUUGCACAAUGGGCGCAAGCCUGAUGCAGCAACGCCGCGUGCGGGAUGACGGCCUUCGGGUUGUAAACCGCUUUCAGCAGGGACGAAGCUUUUUGUGACGGUACCUGCAGAAGAAGCACCGGCUAACUACGUG
Molecule: ribosomal RNA, 465 nt
Filed under: uncultured bacterium
Lineage: Bacteria
Description: partial 16S ribosomal RNA
Rfam family: Bacterial small subunit ribosomal RNA
Source: RNAcentral